This 253-nucleotide ribosomal RNA is filed under the name uncultured bacterium. Its description in RNAcentral is "partial 16S ribosomal RNA". It matches the Rfam family "Bacterial small subunit ribosomal RNA", at positions 524 to 776 of the family's 1533-position model. The record is from RNAcentral.
UACAGAGGUCCCAAGCGUUGUUCGGAUUCACUGGGCGUAAAGCGCGUGUAGGCGGAUGAGCAAGUCUGCUGUGAAAGCUCCUGGCUUAACCGGGAGUGGUCGGUGGAAACUGCUCGUCUGGAGGACGGUAGAGGUAGGUAGAAUUCCCGGUGUAGUGGUGAAAUGCGUAGAGAUCGGGAGGAAUACCUGUGGCGAAGGCGGCCUACUGGGCCGGACCUGACGCUCAUGCACGAAAGCGUGGGGAGCAAACAGG